RNAcentral lists this ribosomal RNA (254 nucleotides) under uncultured bacterium. RNAcentral's name for it is "partial 16S ribosomal RNA". It matches the Rfam family "Bacterial small subunit ribosomal RNA", at positions 524 to 776 of the family's 1533-position model. The record is from RNAcentral.
UACGUAGGGGGCUAGCGUUGUCCGGAAUCAUUGGGCGUAAAGAGCGUGUAGGCGGCCCGGUAAGUCCGCUGUAAAAGUCAAAGGGCUCAACCUUUGAAUGUCAGUGGAUACUGCCGGGCUAGAGUCCGGAAGAGGCGAGUGGAACUCCUGGUGUAGCGGUGGAAUGCGCAGAUAUCAGGAAGAACACCCGUGGCGAAGGCGGCUCUCUGGGACGGUACUGACGCUGAGACGCGAAAGCGUGGGGAGCAAACAGG